RNAcentral lists this ribosomal RNA (497 nucleotides) under uncultured bacterium. Its description in RNAcentral is "partial 16S ribosomal RNA". It matches the Rfam family "Bacterial small subunit ribosomal RNA", at positions 28 to 507 of the family's 1533-position model. The record is from RNAcentral.
GAUGAACGCUGGCGGCGUGCCUAAUACAUGCAAGUCGAGCGAACAGACGAGGAGCUUGCUCCUCUGACGUUAGCGGCGGACGGGUGAGUAACACGUGGAUAACCUACCUAUAAGACUGGGAUAACUUCGGGAAACCGGAGCUAAUACCGGAUAAUAUAUUGAACCGCAUGGUUCAAUAGUGAAAGACGGUUUUGCUGUCACUUAUAGAUGGAUCCGCGCCGCAUUAGCUAGUUGGUAAGGUAACGGCUUACCAAGGCAACGAUGCGUAGCCGACCUGAGAGGGUGAUCGGCCACACUGGAACUGAGACACGGUCCAGACUCCUACGGGAGGCAGCAGUAGGGAAUCUUCCGCAAUGGGCGAAAUCUUGACGGAGCAACGCCGCGUGAGUGAUGAAGGUCUUCGGAUCGUAAAACUCUGUUAUUAGGGAAGAACGAAUGUGUAAGUAACUAUGCACGUCUUGACGGUACCUAAUCAGAAAGCCACGGCUAACUACGUG